UCCCUUCUGGCUCAGAUGGUAAAGCAUCUGCCUGCAAUUUGAGAGACCCAGGUUCAAUCCCUGGGUUGGGAA
Bos taurus (domestic cattle) is the source of this 72-nucleotide non-coding RNA. Lineage: Eukaryota; Metazoa; Chordata; Mammalia; Artiodactyla; Bovidae. The record is from Rfam.